GCCCUGGUAGCUUAGUUUGGAAGAGUUUUGUCUUGGUAAGGCAAAGGUCACUGGUUCGAAUCCAGUCCAGGGCU
This 74-nucleotide transfer RNA is filed under the name Nitrososphaeraceae archaeon. It matches the Rfam family "tRNA". From Rfam's summary of the family: Transfer RNA (tRNA) molecules are approximately 80 nucleotides in length. Lineage: Archaea; Thermoproteati; Nitrososphaerota; Nitrososphaeria; Nitrososphaerales; Nitrososphaeraceae. The record is from Rfam by way of RNAcentral.